RNAcentral lists this ribosomal RNA (1022 nucleotides) under Proteus mirabilis. RNAcentral describes it as "partial 23S ribosomal RNA". It matches the Rfam family "Bacterial large subunit ribosomal RNA", at positions 1918 to 2925 of the family's 2925-position model. Lineage: Bacteria; Pseudomonadati; Pseudomonadota; Gammaproteobacteria; Enterobacterales; Morganellaceae. The record is from RNAcentral.
CCCCAGUAAACGGCGGCCGUAACUAUAACGGUCCUAAGGUAGCGAAAUUCCUUGUCGGGUAAGUUCCGACCUGCACGAAUGGCGUAAUGAUGGCCAGGCUGUCUCCACCCGAGACUCAGUGAAAUUGAACUCGCUGUGAAGAUGCAGUGUACCCGCGGCAAGACGGAAAGACCCCGUGAACCUUUACUAUAGCUUGACACUGAACAUUGAGCCUUGAUGUGUAGGAUAGGUGGGAGGCUUUGAAGUGUGGACGCCAGUCUGCAUGGAGCCAACCUUGAAAUACCACCCUUUAACGUUUGAUGUUCUAACCUAGGCCCAUAAACUGGGUCGGGGACCGUGUCUGGUGGGUAGUUUGACUGGGGCGGUCUCCUCCUAAAGAGUAACGGAGGAGCACGAAGGUUGGCUAAGCAUGGUCGGACAUCAUGCGGUUAGUGCAAAGGCAUAAGCCAGCUUGACUGCGAGAGUGACGGCUCGAGCAGGUACGAAAGUAGGUCUUAGUGAUCCGGUGGUUCUGAAUGGAAGGGCCAUCGCUCAACGGAUAAAAGGUACUCCGGGGAUAACAGGCUGAUACCGCCCAAGAGUUCAUAUCGACGGCGGUGUUUGGCACCUCGAUGUCGGCUCAUCACAUCCUGGGGCUGAAGUAGGUCCCAAGGGUAUGGCUGUUCGCCAUUUAAAGUGGUACGCGAGCUGGGUUUAGAACGUCGUGAGACAGUUCGGUCCCUAUCUGCCGUGGGCGUUGGAAGAUUGAGAGGGGUUGCUCCUAGUACGAGAGGACCGGAGUGAACGCACCACUGGUGUUCGGGUUGUCAUGCCAAUGGCAUUGCCCGGUAGCUAAGUGCGGAAGAGAUAACCGCUGAAAGCAUCUAAGCGGGAAACUUGCCUCGAGAUGAGUCUUCCCUGUCGCUUUAAGCGACCUAAAGGAACGUUUAAGACUAAGACGUUGAUAGGCUGGGUGUGUAAGCGUAGCGAUACGUUGAGCUAACCAGUACUAAUGAACCGUGAGGCUUAACCUGACAACACCG